Molecule: ribosomal RNA, 533 nt
Filed under: uncultured bacterium
Lineage: Bacteria
Description: bacterial SSU rRNA
Rfam family: Bacterial small subunit ribosomal RNA
Source: RNAcentral
UGGCGGCGUGCCUAACACAUGCAAGUCGAACGAGAAAGUGGAGCAAUCCAUGAGUACAGUGGCGUACGGGUGAGUAACACGUGACUAACCUACCCUCGAGUGGGGAAUAACUUCGGGAAACCGAGGCUAAUACCGCAUAAUGUCUACGGACCAAAUGCGUAAGCAGCUUGAGGAGGGGGUCGCGGCUGAUUAGCUUGUUGGCGGGGUAACGGCCCACCAAGGCAAUGAUCAGUAGCCGGCCUGAGAGGGCGCACGGCCACACUGGAACUGAAACACGGUCCAGACUCCUACGGGAGGCAGCAGUGGGGAAUUUUGCGCAAUGGGGGAAACCCUGACGCAGCAACGCCGCGUGGAGGAUGAAGCCCCUUGGGGUGUAAACUCCUUUCGAUCGGGACGAUUAUGACGGUACCGGAUGAAGAAGCACCGGCUAACUCUGUGCCAGCAGCCGCGGUAAUACAGAGGGUGCAAGCGUUGUUCGGAAUUAUUGGGCGUAAAGGGUGCGUANGCGGUGCGGUAAGUCUUCUGUGAAACCU